AUUCCUGCAGCACAGGACGUGCUCAGGGUCAUGGAUGACGUGACCAUAGCCAGGAUGGCAAGCCGACAGGACGUUGGCAUUGGUCAGUAAAAGCCCGCUUCGGCGGGUUUUU
This 112-nucleotide small RNA is filed under the name Phytopseudomonas seleniipraecipitans. The record is from RNAcentral. Lineage: Bacteria; Pseudomonadati; Pseudomonadota; Gammaproteobacteria; Pseudomonadales; Pseudomonadaceae.